This is a long non-coding RNA of Amphimedon queenslandica, 251 nucleotides long. RefSeq lists it as uncharacterized. Lineage: Eukaryota; Metazoa; Porifera; Demospongiae; Haplosclerida; Niphatidae. The record is from RefSeq and is a predicted model, not a curated record. The transcript has 2 exons.
GCGGUCAUCCUUCCGUAUAUCCUCUUACUACAAUCCGUAAUUGUAAACCACGGGAGUCUCUUUACUUGUAUGGAGUCAAGCAAGGAUAUCUAGUCUCUGCCAUGUAAUUUCACCGGUACUUUUCAAGCGUAAAGAACUGCCAUUGGACUUCACAGUGACCGUUUAAUACUUAUUCUUUUUAAUACUUCUUAAUUUAAUUAUAAAAUUAUUUCUCAUUUUGUUAAGAUUGUAUGAUACAGUAUACAACCUAA